GAUCUACACUCUUUCCCUACACGACGCUCUUCCGAUCUUACCGAAUUCAGACAAACUCCGAAUGCCAAAUAAUUUAACUUGGGAGUCAGACUAUGGGUGAUAAGGUCCGUAGUCGAAAGGGAAACAGCCCAGACCACCAGCUAAGGUCCCAAAAUAUAUGUUAAGUGGAAAAGGAUGUGGCGUUGCCCAGACAACUAGGAUGUUGGCUUAGAAGCAGCCAUCAUUUAAAGAGUGCGUAAUAGCUCACUAGUCGAGUGACACUGCGCCGAAAAUGUACCGGGGCUAAACAUAUUACCGAAGCUGUGGAUUAUCCGUAAGGAUAAUGGUAGGAGAGCGUUCUAAACGUGUUGAAGCAUGAUCGUAAGGACAUGUGGAAUGUUUAGAAGUGAGAAUGCCGGUGUGAGUAGCGAAAGAUGGGUGAGAAUCCCAUCCACCGAUUGACUAAGGUUUCCAGAGGAAGGCUCGUCCGCUCUGGGUUAGUCGGGACCUAAGCCGAGGCCGAUAGGCGUAGGCGAUGGAUAACAGGUAGAUAUUCCUGUACCACCUAUGAUUGUUUGAACGAUGGGGGGACGCAGUAGGAUAGGCGAAGCGUGCUGUUGGAGUGCACGUCCAAGCAAUAAGACUGAGUGUUAGGCAAAUCCGGCACUCGUAAGGUUGAGUUGUGAUGGGGAGUUGGAUCAUGUAUCCGACGAGUCGUUGAUUUCACACUGCCAAGAAAAGCCUCUAGUUAGAAAAUAGGUGCCCGUACCGCAAACCGACACAGGUAGUCAAGAUGAGAAUUCUAAGGUGAGCGAGCGAACUCUCGUUAAGGAACUCGGCAAAAUGACCCCGUAACUUCGGGAGAAGGGGUGCUUUUUAGGGUGCAAGCCUUGAAGAGCCGCAGUGAAUAGGCCCAAGCGACUGUUUAUCAAAAACACAGGUCUCUGCUAAACCGUAAGGUGAUGUAUAGGGGCUGACGCCUGCCCGGUGCUGGAAGGUUAAGAGGAGUGGUUAGCUUCUGCGAAGCUACGAAUCGAAGCCCCAGUAAACGGCGGCCGUAACUAUAACGGUCCUAAGGUAGCGAAAUUCCUUGUCGGGUAAGUUCCGACCCGCACGAAAGGCGUAACGAUUUGGGCACUGUCUCAACGAGAGACUCGGUGAAAUCAUAGUACCUGUGAAGAUGCAGGUUACCCGCGACAGGACGGAAAGACCCCGUGGAGCUUUACUGUAGCCUGAUAUUGAAAUUUGGCACAGCUUGUACAGGAUAGGUAGGAGCCUUUGAAACGUGAGCGCUAGCUUACGUGGAGGCGCUGGUGGGAUACUACCCUGGCUGUGUUGACUUUCUAACCCGCACCAUUUGAUCAUGGUGGGAGACAGUGUCAGGCGGGCAGUUUGACUGGGGCGGUCGCCUCCUAAAGAGUAACGGAGGCGCUCAAAGGUUCCCUCAGAAUGGUUGGAAAUCAUUCGCAGAGUGUAAAGGCACAAGGGAGCUUGACUGCGAGACCUACAAGUCGAGCAGGUGCGAAAGCAGGUCUUA
This 1516-nucleotide ribosomal RNA is filed under the name bioreactor sludge metagenome. RNAcentral describes it as "bacterial LSU rRNA". It matches the Rfam family "Bacterial large subunit ribosomal RNA", at positions 916 to 2414 of the family's 2925-position model. The record is from RNAcentral.